UGGUGGGGUGACUCGUCUGGUUAAUUUCGAUAACGAACGAGAUCCGAGCUGUUUAGUUGAUUAUAUCAAGCAUUGAGUAAAAUCUUCUAAAUGGACAAUCAGUAUUAAGCUGAGGGAAGUUUCGGGCUAAAUCA
RNAcentral lists this ribosomal RNA (134 nucleotides) under uncultured eukaryote. Its description in RNAcentral is "partial 18S ribosomal RNA". It matches the Rfam family "Eukaryotic small subunit ribosomal RNA", at positions 1299 to 1458 of the family's 1831-position model. The record is from RNAcentral.